This 1234-nucleotide ribosomal RNA is filed under the name metagenome. Its description in RNAcentral is "bacterial LSU rRNA". It matches the Rfam family "Bacterial large subunit ribosomal RNA", at positions 1564 to 2808 of the family's 2925-position model. The record is from RNAcentral.
UGAUGACGAGACGCUAAGGCGUUGAAGCAGUGUAUGUCAGACUUCCAAGAAAAGCUCGCAAUGUCACGGAUAAAAAAUGCCUGUACCAUAACCGACACAGGUGGGUAGGUAGAGUAUACUAGGGGCGCGAGAUAACUCUCUCUAAGGAACUCGGCAAAAUGACUCCGUAACUUCGGGAGAAGGAGUGCCUUAUUUAUAAGGUUGCAAUAACAAGAUCCAAGCAACUGUUUAUCAAAAACACAGGUCUCCGCUAAGUCGUAAGACGAUGUAUGGGGGCUGACGCCUGCCCAGUGCCAGAAGGUUAAAGAAGUUGGUUAGUGUAUGCGAAGCUGAUGACUGAAGCCCUGGUGAACGGCGGCCGUAACGAUAACGGUCCUAAGGUAGCGAAAUUCCUUGUCGGGUAAGUUCCGACCCGCACGAAAGGCGUAAUGAUUUGGAUACUGUCUCGGAGAGAGGCUCGGUGAAAUAGACUUGUCUGUGAAGAUGCGGACUACCUGCACCAGGACAGAAAGACCCUAUGAAGCUUUACUGUAACUUGAAAUUGGAAUUGGACUUUGCUUGCGCAGUAUAGGUGGGAAGCGUUGAAAAUAUUCUUGCGGGAGUAUUGGAGCUAUCAGUGAGAUACCACUCUUGUAAUGUUAGAUUUCUAACUUUGAACCAUAAUCUGGUCAAAGAACAGUUUCAGGUGGGCAGUUUGACUGGGGCGGUCGCCUCCCAAAUGGUAACGGAGGCGUACAAAGGUUUCCUCUGAACGGAUAGAAAUCGUAUCUAGAGUGUAAAGGCAUAAGGAAGCUUGACUGUGAGACCUACAAGUCGAGCAGGGACGAAAGUCGGUCUUAGUGAUCUGACGGUACUGAGUGGAAAGGCCGUCACUCAACGGAUAAAAGUUACUCUAGGGAUAACAGGCUGAUCUCCCCCAAGAGUUCACAUCGACGGGGAGGUUUGGCACCUCGAUGUCGGCUCAUCGCAUCCUGGGGCGGUAGUACGUCCCAAGGGUUGGGCUGUUCGCCCAUGAAAGCGGUACGCGAGCUGGGUUCAGAACGUCGUGAGACAGUUCGGUCCAUAUCCGGUGUAGGCGCUAGAAUAUCGAGAGGAGCCUUCUUUAGUACGAGAGGACCGAGAAGGACACACCGCUGGUGUACCAGUUAUCGUGCCAACGGUAAACGCUGGGUAGCUAUGUGUGGAGUGGAUAACCGCUGAAAGCAUCUAAGUGGGAAGCCCACCUCGAGAUGAG